AGAGUUUGAUCCUGGCUCAGGAUGAACGCUGGCUACAGGCUUAACACAUGCAAGUCGUGGGGAAACGGCAUUAUGUGCUUGCACAUUCUGGACGUCGACCGGCGCACGGGUGAGUAUCGCGUAUCCAACCUGCCCCUUACUUGGGGAUACCCCGUUGAAGGACGGCCUAAUACCCGAUGUGUUUCAUUGACGGCAUCCGAUAUGAAACAAAGGUUUUUCCGGUAAGGGAUGGGGAUGCGUCUGAUUAGCUAGUUGGCGGGGCAACGGCCCACCAAGGCGACGAUCAGUAGGGGUUCUGAGAGGAAGGUCCCCCACAUUGGAACUGAGACACGGUCCAAACUCCUACGGGAGGCAGCAGUGAGGAAUAUUGGUCAAUGGGCGCAAGCCUGAACCAGCCAAGUAGCGUGCAGGAAGACGGCCCUAUGGGUUGUAAACUGCUUUUAUACGAGAAUAAUUUGAUGCACGUGUGCGUUAUUGCAUGUAUCGUAUGAAUAAGGACCGGCUAAUUCCGUGCCAGCAGCCGCGGUAAUACGGAAGGUCCAGGCGUUAUCCGGAUUUAUUGGGUUUAAAGGGAGUGUAGGCGGUUUGUUAAGCGUGUUGUGAAAUUUAGGUGCUCAACAUUUAACUUGCAGCGCGAACUGUCAGACUUGAGUACACGCAACGUAUGCGGAAUUCAUGGUGUAGCGGUGAAAUGCUUAGAUAUCAUGAAGAACUCCGAUUGCGAAGGCAGCAUACGGGAGUGUAACUGACGCUUAAGCUCGAAGGUGCGGGUAUCGAACAGGAUUAGAUACCCUGGUAGUCCGCACAGUAAACGAUGGAUGCCCGCUGUUAGCGCCUGGCGUUAGCGGCUAAGCGAAAGCAUUAAGCAUCCCACCUGGGGAGUACGCCGGCAACGGUGAAACUC
Molecule: ribosomal RNA, 904 nt
Filed under: uncultured bacterium
Lineage: Bacteria
Description: bacterial SSU rRNA
Rfam family: Bacterial small subunit ribosomal RNA
Source: RNAcentral